This 478-nucleotide ribosomal RNA is filed under the name uncultured bacterium. Its description in RNAcentral is "partial 16S ribosomal RNA". It matches the Rfam family "Bacterial small subunit ribosomal RNA", at positions 28 to 523 of the family's 1533-position model. The record is from RNAcentral.
GACGAACGCUGGCGGCGUGCUUAACACAUGCAAGUCGAACGGUAAGGCCCUUCGGGGUACACGAGUGGCGAACGGGUGAGUAACACGUGGGUGAUCUGCCCAGCACUUCGGGAUAAGCCUGGGAAACUGGGCCUAAUACCGGAUAGGACCACUGCCUGCAUGGGGGGUGGUGGCAACCUUUUGAGGUGUGGGAUGGGCCCGCGGCCGAUCAGCUUGUUGGUGGGGUGAUGGCGUAACAAGGCGACGACGGGUAGCCGGCCGGAGAGGGUGACCGGCCACACUGGGACUGAGAUACGGCCCAGACUCCUACGGGAGGCAGCAGUGGGGAAUAUUGCACAAUGGGCGCAAGCCUGAUGCAGCGACGCCGCGUGAGGGAUGACGGCCUUCGGGUUGUAAACCUCUUUCAGCACCGACGAAGCGCAAGUGACGGUAGGUGCAGAAGAAGGACCGGCCAACUACGUGCCAGCCGCCGCGGUAA